Molecule: long non-coding RNA, 701 nt
Organism: Equus caballus (horse)
Lineage: Eukaryota; Metazoa; Chordata; Mammalia; Perissodactyla; Equidae
Source: RefSeq, a predicted model, not a curated record
UCCCAGGCAGCUGGCAGCAAACAUGAGAGGAGAACAGCAGAGAGGUGGGGCCAACCAUGGGAGAAGCACACUUCAGAACCCAAAAAGGGCAAAAUGGUCGGACAAGAACAGAGGUGCUCCUAAGAAUGAAAGAAGCCACGCAGAGCCUGGAGUGUGAUGUUCGAGAGAGUAGAGAGAUCAGCCAAAGCUGCACCUUGCAGAACGUGACCCACCUCUUCAUGAGAGAGGACGCUGCUGCUCCGGAACCGCACAAACUGGCCCAGGGAGAGAAGCCCCAGACAUGCAGUCAUUUGGCAUCUCCUUCAUUCAUAGUCAUUUCCUGUGCUCCUGCUGUGCCCAGCACUGGACCAGGGACACAUCUGAAGUCCCCCAAACCCUACCUUCAAGGAGCUCAAGAGCUGGUGGGCAGGGGUGGGGUUGUGUCAUGAGAGUGCGGUAAAUGAGGCAGACCUGAAAGAGGUGGCCCUGCUGACUCCCUCAGUCCCUGCCCCCACCACCCACCCCUCAGCCUUGCUCUCACACUCAUGGCCAAAAUGGACUAUGGUUACACAAACACACCACUAUGUGCUCGCAUACCUGCUUCUCACUUCACUACCUGGAAUACUUUUCCUCUUCUGCCUAUUAAUCCCACAAGCCUCAGCUAAAAUGUUACCUUCACUGCUAAAUUUUCUUUCAUUUUAUUAAAGAAAUACAGGCAUUAA